Molecule: ribosomal RNA, 492 nt
Filed under: uncultured bacterium
Lineage: Bacteria
Description: partial 16S ribosomal RNA
Rfam family: Bacterial small subunit ribosomal RNA
Source: RNAcentral
AGUGAACGCUGGCGGUAGGCCUAACACAUGCAAGUCGAACGGCAGCACAGUAAGAGCUUGCUCUUACGGGUGGCGAGUGGCGGACGGGUGAGGGAUACAUCGGAAUCUACUUUUUCGUGGGGGAUAACGUAGGGACACUUACGCUAAUACCGCAUAGGACCUACGGGUGAAAGCAGGGGAUCUUCGGACCUUGCGCGAUUGAAUGAGCCGAUGUCGGAUUAGCUAGUUGGCGGGGUAAAGGCCCACCAAGGCGACGAUCCGUAGCUGGUCUGAGAGGAUGAUCAGCCACACUGGAACUGAGACACGGUCCAGACUCCUACGGGAGGCAGCAGUGGGGAAUAUUGGACAAUGGGCGCAAGCCUGAUCCAGCCAUGCCGCGUGGGUGAAGAAGGUCUUCGGGUUGUAAAGCCCUUUUGUUGGGAAAGAAAAGCAGCAGGUUAAUACCCCGCUGUUCUGACGGUACCAAAAGAAUAAGCACCGGCUAACUUCGUG